ACAAAUGUUUUAAAUGCUACACUCAUGAACUUAUCACCCAUCAACUUUGUCUUGCUCCCCAUGCUUAAGGAUAGAGAAGAAUAAAUAUACUUUUGGUUCUGUUGGUGUUUUCCACCAACAGAACCCAUGCACUUGAUCUCUGCCUUGUCUCUAUGAGCAGGACACAUUUUGAGAAACAUGGAGGAUUUUUCAACUCUUAGACUCUACCAAGUGAAGGACCUGGAUCUACGAGCACAAACACACUGAGCAGGAUGCUGCCAACGCCGCACUUCGAACUGCUGGGAAAACGAAGAACAUGGGUGACACCGUAUCAAGAGGUGCAGAUGUCAGGGUCCACACCUAAAUCAAAUGACGCACCUGAAGAAUGAACACAGUGAGAAGUCUUGUUCAGAAGACUUAAAACAUUGAACCCUCGC
This 416-nucleotide long non-coding RNA is filed under the name Sorghum bicolor (sorghum). Its description in RNAcentral is "long non-coding RNA (SBIC_LNC003254)". Lineage: Eukaryota; Viridiplantae; Streptophyta; Magnoliopsida; Poales; Poaceae. The record is from RNAcentral.